This 420-nucleotide ribosomal RNA is filed under the name Fusobacteriota bacterium. Its description in RNAcentral is "Fusobacteria bacterium partial 16S ribosomal RNA". It matches the Rfam family "Bacterial small subunit ribosomal RNA", at positions 355 to 776 of the family's 1533-position model. The record is from RNAcentral. Lineage: Bacteria; Fusobacteriati; Fusobacteriota.
UGGGGGAUAUUGCACAAUGGGCGAAAGCCUGAUGCAGCGACGCCGCGUGGGGGAUGAAGGCCUUCGGGUUGUAAACUUCUUUUGCUCUGAACAAGGCAUGCCUUUGGGGUGUGUUGAGUGUAGGGGUUGAUUAGCGCCGGCUAACUACGUGCCAGCAGCCGCGGUAAUACGUAGGGCGCGAGCGUUGUCCGGAAUGAUUGGGCGUAAAGGGCUUGUAGGUGGCUGGUUGCGUCUGUCGUGAAAGCUCAUGGCUUAACUGUGGGUUUGCGGUGGGUACGGGCUGGCUUGAGUGCAGUAGGGGAGGCUGGAAUUCCUGGUGUAGCGGUGGAAUGCGCAGAUAUCAGGAGGAAUACCGGUGGCGAAGGCGGGUCUCUGGGCUGUUACUGACGCUGAGGAGCGAAAGCGUGGGGAGCGAACAGG